This 1815-nucleotide ribosomal RNA is filed under the name Triticum aestivum (bread wheat). RNAcentral describes it as "partial small subunit ribosomal RNA". Lineage: Eukaryota; Viridiplantae; Streptophyta; Magnoliopsida; Poales; Poaceae. The record is from RNAcentral.
AUGGCGGAGCCGGCCACCCGUGACCGACGCCGCCCUCAACCCGCCUUGCUCGAGCGGUGGGAUCGGCCCAAGCUGCCGCCAGAUCGCUGUAGCCGGCGACCCCGACUGCCCAACAAGCACACCACCUCGACGCCUGACACGCCGCCGCCAUGCUGCCAUCGCCGACGAGCUCCGGCGCACUGCUGCGCCCGCCGGCAACGCAACAUCCAGGCCUGGCCGCCUCGGCCCGCGCCAGAGGGCCCAUGCGAGGAGAAGAGACCACCCCAUCGCCGACCGGGCUUCAUGAGAUUACCAAGUCAAUAUGCUGAGAUGGCGGCCCCCGCCAAAAACGUAAUCGUCGAACCCCGCGGGGACUCCCACGAUCGCCAAGGCGAUCUGGCGGCGGAAAUGGGCAACGAGGUGGGUCUCUUCAGCGUGUGGGAGUGGGAGGAAAUCAAGGAGAGAUCGAGGCGGAUUCUACGGGGAUGGACAGAUCGGAAUCGUUGCUUGAUUAAGUCGAAGAAGAGAGCGAAGGAAAUCGCCAAUCAUCUGGCAGGUGAGAUUUCGUCGAAGCCUGGGGUGGGAAGUAGGAGAGGAUCGCGGGGAGCCUUGUGUCCCGCUGGAUCGGAGGGGAGAUUUUCGGAGGGGGGAGCGAUUCCCGCUCAGGAAUCAAAGUCAACACCUGUAGUUUUGCCCCAACUGUUCUCUGGCUUUUCUUCCUCGCGCCGUGGCCUAGGGGAUUUUGCCAUGGUGGGUCGGAGUGAGAUUGAGGGCAGGGUUAUGGGGGAAGAGCAUGUGAGUGAAGUGGGUUCGAGGGGGGCGCCGGCUGCUACGGCGGAGAUGUGCCUCCCACCAGCCAUUGCUGGAGCGGGAUCCUCUCUCCACCUGGCCAUGCCUAAUCACCCGGUGUCGCAGAUGUCGAGGCGCAUCUGGGGUGAGGGGCGUCCUCUUGUCGUUGACAUGGAGGCUGCCCGCAAGGCCGUCAGCGGGUUCCUGGUGGUCGGUCGCCUCCUAUCCCCUUUCCGGAUCAACCCGAGGGUCAUUGUCGAUGACCUCUGGUACACAGCUUGGAAGAACCAAGGGGUGGUUGCCAUACAAGAGGUGGGCAGUGAAGACGGGAGGUUCUCCUCAAUCUUGCCACUGAGAUUCGACGGUAAGGGUGACCCUGCAGAAGUUGACCUUGGCGUCAUGGCCAUUUGGGUCCAGGUUCGCGAUAUUCCAUUCGAGCUCAAGACGGAGAGCAUAGGUUGGUCUCUUGAGGAUCAGCUGGGAGAGGUGCUGGAGAAGAGCCAAGGUGCAAGCAAGAGGGGUCUUCUCUUCGGGAAUGUCUCCCGUGGCGACAAGAAUCCGACCACAAGCUUCGUCAACAACAACAACAACGUCAAGCCCAUGGACGUCGUCAAGGUGGCGACUGCCGAGCACCGACUGGGAGUUUCCUCCUCACGCGCCAAGCUUGACCAGGUGGGUCAGGGGAUGGUGACGGCUGAAGCAAUUCAGCCACUCCCAGUAAUGGUCGGGGAGUUUUGUGAUCUUCAGCUGAAGUUGUCCAGUUCGGCCGAUGUUGAUGCUGCUACGGGCUUACUUCCCUCGGCUGGGAAGGAAGAGCAGGUACACACAGGAAAGAAUGGGAAGAAAGAGAAAAAGAGAGGGAACACGGAUAGAUAUGAGGAGGCACCUAUGAACGCAUAUUAUACGGGGAUAUCUCCUCCAAACGGGUUUGCAUGGGCAGAGUUGAGACAGUGCGAUACCAAGGGUAUGGUCAUACAUAUUGCGAAGGAGACCCAUGAGCAGGAGGAAGAGUAUGGUCAGCAAAGUGUGGAAUCAGUUGGGGAAUAG